This 253-nucleotide ribosomal RNA is filed under the name uncultured bacterium. RNAcentral describes it as "partial 16S ribosomal RNA". It matches the Rfam family "Bacterial small subunit ribosomal RNA", at positions 524 to 776 of the family's 1533-position model. The record is from RNAcentral.
UACAGAGACUGCAAGCGUUAUUCGGAUUCACUGGGCGUAAAGGGUGCGCAGGCGGUCGGGUGUGUCAGAUGUGAAAUCCCGAGGCUCAACCUCGGAACUGCGUCUGAAACUACUCGACUAGAGUACUGGAGAGGGUAACGGAAUUCACGGUGUAGCAGUGAAAUGCGUAGAUAUCGUGAGGAACACCAGAGGCGAAGGCGGUUACCUGGACAGUUACUGACGCUCAGGCACGAAAGCAUGGGGAGCAGAAGGG